CUCGACCCGGUUCCCUCACAGCUGUUCGACCCGACCUGAGAGCGCUGAAGCAGCUGUCAGGCACGGUGGUGGCAGCAUCAUGAUGUGGGACAGCAGGCAGUGUUGCAUGCUGGGAGAGCUGUUGCCUGGGGGGCAGCGAGCGCCCCACCCUGACGAGGCCGACGAGGAAGAGGAGAAGAAUCUGCUGAAGACUCCGAUCGUUCCUCAGAGUCAAAGACUUCCUGACUUCAAACCCUCUGAACUGGAGCUCAUUAAGGCCAAGAGCUCUGUUGAUUUUAACAAAAUAAAAGCCUGAACUC
Austrofundulus limnaeus is the source of this 299-nucleotide long non-coding RNA. RefSeq lists it as uncharacterized. The transcript has 3 exons. Lineage: Eukaryota; Metazoa; Chordata; Actinopteri; Cyprinodontiformes; Rivulidae. The record is from RefSeq and is a predicted model, not a curated record.